Callithrix jacchus (white-tufted-ear marmoset) is the source of this 1571-nucleotide long non-coding RNA. Lineage: Eukaryota; Metazoa; Chordata; Mammalia; Primates; Cebidae. The record is from Ensembl.
UGAUAAUGUAAUUGAUGAUGCAGGUGGGAGGCCGUACUCAACUCCAGAGGUGAGGCUUGGAUGCUGGACCAAAUUGAGGACUAGCUAAACCAGGAAGGAGGCAGAAGCAGCUUUCCAGAAGCCACGCCCACCAGGGUGCCAUGGCAGUUCACCAUCACCAUAGCAACACCGAGAAGUUACUGCCCUUUUCCAUGGCAAUGACCCAAAGGCCCAGAAGUUACCACCUUUUCCUCGAAAUUUCUGCAUAAACCACCUCUAAAUCUGUAUGCAACUGAAAAUAGGUAUAAAUAUGCCUGCAGAACUGCACUGAACUGCUACUCUCCGCCUCCGGUGUGACCUGCUCUACAGGAGCAGUCACGGAGACGUCACACUGCAGCUUCAAUGCACUGUUUUCUUCUGCCACCAGCUCACCCUUCAGUGUUUUUCCUGGGCGAAGCCAAGCACUGCUGGGGGCUACGCUCCUCUUCAUGAUGCCCUUUAGGGUCCCACUGGUGAUGCUCUGAAUGGUAAUCACAAGGGUUCUCAUAAGAGGAACGCAGGUUGGUGAAAGGGAGAGAACGGAUUGAGGGGAUGUGACCAGGGAGGAAGGAGAAGGGUAUGUGAAGACAGACAGCAGGAAAGAGGCAUUGGAAGAUGCCACGCUGGGCCUAGCAGAUUUGGGAGCCACAAGCCAAGGAGAGCAGGCAGCCCUAGACAUUGAAAAAGGCAAGGAAGGGGAUUCCUCACAGAUCCCCCAGGAGGAUCACAGCCCUGCCGACGGCUGGAGUAGGACUUCUGACCUCCAGGACCAUCAGAUAAUGGAUUUGUGUUUUUAAAGGCCGUAAGUGCGUGGUGAUUUGCUACAGCCACAGCAGGAAACAGAGUCAUGCCUAAGACGCUUUCUUCCCUUCAGUGAGACUAAUGGCUCCCUCCAACCCCUCCAGACCUGGUUUUAUUUGUGACUUUCAUCUGAACUGACCUCUUAAACACAAGGAGCAAAUGUUAUCUCUGAUCUAUUCAGUUAAAAUGUAACUUGCACUCUAUUGCCUCUUCUCUUCAACUGUGCUCGAAUACUCCUGAGUCUGGCUGUGCUGCCGAAGCCAUUUCCCCGGGGAGAAAGCAGUCUCUUCCGACCGCCCGAACAGAGUGGGAAUGGAAGAUGCAUUCUCCACCAGGGAUGAAUCGGAAAACUGACAGCCCCAAGAUAAGAGAAAGGAGAUCCAAAGCAUUUACAACUGCAGACGUGCUCUUCGCAUGUAGUGGUGAAUAGGGCUGAUUUGCAUUUAGAUUCCUGGGUAAGUUAAAUCGCAGCAUUUCAGGGCAUUCCAGGCAUUCAGUCCUACUUUCAGCAGCGUUAUUAAUAACCUACGACGCCUCACGAGGUCGACACACGAUUAGCUUCCCAGAGUCCCUUCUCACCUGGGGGAGAAGCUCGAGAGUCCCUGCCUUAGAGCGCAUCGUUCCUGCUCUUCCUUCAGCUGCCGUUUCAGUAUAUUUUUUGGCAACCUGAAGGUUCUGAGAGGGAGUUGGUGCUGAAGUUUCUGGAGGCUUCCAUGGUUGUCACGGAAACCUCAGGUUAGGCUUCUCCCAGU